UGGGGAAUUUUGGACAAUGGGCGAAAGCCUGAUCCAGCAAUGCCGCGUGUGUGAAGAAGGCCUUCGGGUUGUAAAGCACUUUUGUCCGGAAAGAAAUCCUUGGCUCUAAUACAGUCGGGGGAUGACGGUACCGGAAGAAUAAGCACCGGCUAACUACGUGCCAGCAGCCGCGGUAAUACGUAGGGUGCAAGCGUUAAUCGGAAUUACUGGGCGUAAAGCGUGCGCAGGCGGUUUGCUAAGACCGAUGUGAAAUCCCCGGGCUCAACCUGGGAACUGCAUUGGGUGACUGGCAGGCUAGAGUAUGGCAGAGGGGGGUAGAAUUCCACGUGUAGCAGUGAAAUGCGUAGAGAUGUGGAGGAAUACCGAUGGCGAAGGCAGCCCCCUGGGCCAAUACUGACGCUCAUGCACGAAAGCGUGGGGAGCAAACAGGAUUAGAUACCCUGGUAGUCCACGCCCUAAACGAUGUCAACUAGUUGUUGGGGAUUCAUUUCCUUAGUAACGUAGCUAACGCGUGAAGUUGACCGCCUGGGGAGUACGGUCGCAAGAUUAAAACUUAAAUGAAUUGACGGGGUCAUAGCUGUUUCCU
This 586-nucleotide ribosomal RNA is filed under the name uncultured bacterium. RNAcentral describes it as "partial 16S ribosomal RNA". It matches the Rfam family "Bacterial small subunit ribosomal RNA", at positions 355 to 1375 of the family's 1533-position model. The record is from RNAcentral.